UGGGGAAUAUUGCACAAUGGGGCGAAAGCCUGAUGCAGCAACGCCGCGUGAGCGAUGAAGGUCUUCGGAUCGUAAAGCUCUGUCCUUGGGGAAGAUAAUGACGGUACCCUUGGAAGAAGCCCCGGCUAACUACGUGCCAGCAGCCGCGGUAAUACGUAGGGGGCAAGCGUUAUCCGGAUUUACUGGGUGUAAAGGGAGCGCAGGCGGCAGGGCAAGUCAGAUGUGAAAUACUGGGGCUCAACCCCGGGACUGCAUUUGAAACUGUCCGGCUAGAGUGCAGGAGAGGCAGGCGGAAUUCCUAGUGUAGCGGUGAAAUGCGUAGAUAUUAGGAGGAACACCAGUGGCGAAGGCGGCCUGCUGGACUGUAACUGACGCUGAGGCUCGAAAGCGUGGGGAGCAAACAGGAUUAGAUACCCUGGUAGU
RNAcentral lists this ribosomal RNA (423 nucleotides) under uncultured Lachnospiraceae bacterium. RNAcentral's name for it is "bacterial SSU rRNA". It matches the Rfam family "Bacterial small subunit ribosomal RNA", at positions 355 to 794 of the family's 1533-position model. Lineage: Bacteria; Bacillati; Bacillota; Clostridia; Lachnospirales; Lachnospiraceae. The record is from RNAcentral.